RNAcentral lists this ribosomal RNA (492 nucleotides) under uncultured bacterium. RNAcentral describes it as "partial 16S ribosomal RNA". It matches the Rfam family "Bacterial small subunit ribosomal RNA", at positions 28 to 507 of the family's 1533-position model. The record is from RNAcentral.
GAUGAACGCUGGCGGCGUGCCUAACACAUGCAAGUCGAGCGAAAGGACGAGAAGCUUUCUUCCUUGAUGUUAGCGGCGGACGGGUGAGUAACACGUGGAUAACAUACCUAUAAGACUGGGAUAACUUCGUGAAACCGGUGCUGAUACCGGAUAAUAUUUUCAACGGCUGGAUGCAAAAGAGAAUGGCGUCUUGCGCGCUUGUAUGAGCCGAUGUCGGAUUAGCUAGUUGGUUGGGUAAGGGCCCACCAAGGCGACGAUCCGUAGCUGGGCUGAGAGGAUGAUCAGCCACACUGGAACUGAGACACGGUCCAGACUCCUACGGGAGGCAGCAGUGGGGAAUCUUGCGCAAUGGGCGAAAGCCUGACGCAGCAAUGCCGCGUGAGUGAAGAAGGCCUUCGGGUCGUAAAGCUCUUUUAUUAGGGAAGAACAGAUGUGUGUUAAUCUGUGCACAUCUUGACGGUACCUAAAGAGAAAGCCCCGGCUAACUACGUG